CAGCCUUUAAUGUAAUUAAACCCAAGCUCUCAUUUUCUCAGCUUCCGUGUUCAGCUCGGGCACCCCAUUGUCAUCUCCCUGCUCGAGCUCUCAUCUCUCUCCUCCUUCUUCACUGGCGAGCAGUCCCUCCUCCUUCUCCACCGGCGAGCUCUCCCUCCUCCUUCUCCACCGGCGAGCACGCCCACUUUCGGGCUCUGUCUCUCCUCCCCAUAAAUACCCCCCUAAAUCCUCCGUAGAUUUUCCAAUAAACCAAAAUUUAAUCGAAGUUCACUGCUGAAUUCGUAAGCUUGGAAGCUUGUUCAAAAAUUGCUCGAUUUUUGUUGAAAUCAGGAACAUGUUUGGAGGUAGUGAUACUAAUCCUAUGCUUCCUGUUCACAUGGAUGGUGUCAGGUUGCCGUAUAAUGCCAAUAUAGUGCCAUUGAUGCAAUUAGAUGAUCAGGGGCUGGUUUGCACUGAUCUGCGCUGACUGAUCUGUUGCUGAAUGAUCUGCAUGAUCUGUUGCUGACUGAUCUGCAUGAUCUGAUCUGCUGCUACGCGCGCUGCUGCUGACUGAUCUGUUGCUACGCUGCUGCUGCACUAGUGCAAUGUUGCUGGCUGCUGGAUUAUUGUUGUUGCUGCUGCUUGAUUAUUGUUGUUGUUGCUGCUGUAUUUUUUGUUGCUGGCUGCUUAACUUGUGUGAAUGUUCUAACCGCCACAUUUGUAUCUUGUACUUGAUGCAGCAACACCCUAGAAAUUGUGAACCUUAUCGCAGAGGUUGAACAUACUGCAGGAAAGAAGGGCACAUAAAUUUAUAUGACUCUUGUUGAACUAAAAGGUGGUGAUUGAUUUCAUAAAGUGGUUGCUUGGGUUGGAGGUAGAAUUAUUACAACGGAACAUCAUCCAAAGGAUUAAUAAUGCGGGAUCCAAUGCAUAUAGCUAUAAGCCUAUGGCAGAAGCUUCAGAUGAGGAUCUCAUUGAGGUGGUCACUACAAAUACCCUUGGUUUGAUGAUCUGCUGUCGGGAGGCUAUGAAGCUGAUGUUAAACCAACCCAGAGGUGGUCAUAUAUUUAAUAUUGAUGGUGCUGGUUCUGAUGGAAGACCGACUCCAAGGUUUUCACAACUCCAAGGGAGGGGCCCUUUACCAAAGAGGAGUUGGAUAAAGUUCGAAACAAGUGGACUACUUACUUCAACGAUUGUGAACUACCCUCAGUGUAAUAAAUAGAGCAGGCUUGUAGUUAUCCGUGACUCUUACAUUAUUUUGUUAUUUAUCGAUUUAAUUAAUUACAUUUGAAUUAAUUCGGUAAUAUUAUUGGAAAUUUGAAAUUCA
RNA transcript from Spinacia oleracea (spinach), 1306 nucleotides. It is a transcript of the gene named chlorophyll(ide) b reductase NOL, chloroplastic-like, with no coding region annotated. The record is from RefSeq and is a predicted model, not a curated record. NCBI's taxonomy places the organism in Eukaryota, Viridiplantae, Streptophyta, Magnoliopsida, Caryophyllales, Amaranthaceae. The transcript has 8 exons.